RNAcentral lists this long non-coding RNA (539 nucleotides) under Rattus norvegicus (Norway rat). RNAcentral describes it as "long non-coding RNA NONRATT010674". Lineage: Eukaryota; Metazoa; Chordata; Mammalia; Rodentia; Muridae. The record is from RNAcentral.
ACCCGGAUGCCGAAGGGAAUCCACUGGACCAUUUUAGCGCCAGAGAAUCUGGUCAUGCCACUGACAACAGUCAAGACCUUGGUCAGUUGUAAGAUUCUCUGCAAAGCCACCCUGCAAGGACCCUUGAAUCAAAACAGCCCGGAAGCACCUUAAGGAUUAUUGAAAAUCAGCCUGUGGUUGGCUUUCUGAAAGUUACGCUGUCCUAUUGAUUAAAAGGCUUAAGCCCUUGUCAGUAGGUUUGGGUUGAAGUCCAAGUUGGUGAUUCGUAGCCCAUCACUAUACAUCCAGAGAAUAGGCUUUUUCUUUUUAAACUAUUGUUGCUUAUAUUUAAAAAAAAAAAAAGGGUGGGGGAGGCAGAAACAGGCAGAUGUCUGUGUGUUGAAGGCCAGCCUGGUCUACAUAGUGACCUCCAGUCCUGCUAAAGCUGUAUAGUGAGACUAUGUCUUGAAAAAACAAAUAAAUAAAUAAAUAAAUAAAUAAAGAAAUAAAUAAAGAAAUGAAAUGAAAUGAAAUGAAAUGAAAUGAAAUGAAAAAUAAAU